Long non-coding RNA from Nicotiana tabacum (common tobacco), 631 nucleotides. RefSeq lists it as uncharacterized. The record is from RefSeq and is a predicted model, not a curated record. NCBI's taxonomy places the organism in Eukaryota, Viridiplantae, Streptophyta, Magnoliopsida, Solanales, Solanaceae.
CAGUAUUUGACAAGUGCAAGCUAAGGACCCUUUCGCUUUUCUCCAGUUGCUUCUUCUUUCGCUAUCCAAAGCUGUAUCUAAACAAACAAGAAUUGAAAGGAAUCCUAUUCGCAUUGUCGCCAAAAAUAUAAGAACAAAUCCACUACAAAGCUGUACGUAGUUUUCAUAUACCAUAUCAACUAUCUAUCUAUUCUCUCCCUCUCUCUUUCUUCUUUUCUCUUUUUACUUCUAAUUAGGAGUUUAUCGGACAUGAAUGAGCCACCAAAAUAUGGUUAUCCAUACCCCUCUCAAGGUCAAGGAUAUUAUCAGGGGCCUCCUCCUCCAGUGAUGGCGCCACCAACAUAUGCAGCUGCUCCUCCACCUCAGAAAAACAGAGGUUUUCUUGAAGGAUGCCUAGCAGCUCUGUGUUGUUGUUGCCUGAUAGAUGAGUGUUGCUGUGAUCCCUCUAUCCUCUGUCUGUGGUAAGGUGUUCGGGCUGCCAAUUUCAGUUACUGCUUCUGCUUUUUACCAAAAUAAUAAGAAUUGUAAUUUAAAUAAGUUCUUUAGGAACAGGGAGUUUAUCGUCUUGUAAUUAUCUUCUUUUAAUUAUUGAACUCUUUUUUGUUCUCAGAGAGAGUUACCAUUUCAUUAA